GAUGAAGAACGCAGCAAAAUGCGAUAAGUAAUGUGAAUUGCAGAAUUCAGAGAAUCAUCGAAUCUUUGAACGCACAUUGCGCCCGCCAGUAUUCUGGCGGGCAUGCCUGUUCGAGCGUCAUUUCAACCCUCAAGCACAGCUUGGUGUUGGGACUCGCGUUAAUUCGCGUUCCUCAAAUUGAUUGGCGGUCACGUCGAGCUUCCAUAGCGUAGUAGUAAAACCCUCGUUACUGGUAAUCGUCGCGGCCACGCCGUUAAACCCCAACUUCUGAAUGUUGACCUCGGAUCAGGUAGGAAUACCCGCUGAACUUAAGCAUAUCAAUAAGCGGAGGA
This 332-nucleotide unclassified non-coding RNA is filed under the name soil metagenome. RNAcentral's name for it is "partial contains 5.8S ribosomal RNA, internal transcribed spacer 2, and large subunit ribosomal RNA". The stretch from base 1 to 120 matches the Rfam family "5.8S ribosomal RNA", at positions 35 to 154 of the family's 154-position model. The record is from RNAcentral.